This 31-nucleotide non-coding RNA is filed under the name Mus musculus (house mouse). The record is from RNAcentral. Lineage: Eukaryota; Metazoa; Chordata; Mammalia; Rodentia; Muridae.
UAGAAUCUAAAUGUGAAGCUUUAAUGGUGGA